Arachis duranensis is the source of this 1169-nucleotide RNA transcript. It is a transcript of the gene named tetraspanin-20, with no coding region annotated. NCBI's taxonomy places the organism in Eukaryota, Viridiplantae, Streptophyta, Magnoliopsida, Fabales, Fabaceae. The record is from RefSeq and is a predicted model, not a curated record. The transcript is spliced from 7 exons.
UUCUGAAUACAUUGCUGCUCUAUCUCUCUAUCCACUAUCCACCCUUUCUUUCUUUCUUAUCAUCUCCCACUUCCAAUUCCCAGCACAGAACCAAACCAUUCUCUUCAUUCAUUCCUUCCUCGAAUAAAUAAUCAAUUCAGGAGAUCAAAAGAAAAGAAAAUAAUAAUAAUUUAGAAACCCUAAAAUUAACUACCAUGCGCUUCAAUUGCUGCCACGUGUCGCUGGCGUUCGUUCUGAAGUUCUUGAAUUUCCUUCAAGCUUUCAUUGGGGUUUCGAUUCUGAUGUACUCAAUAUGGAUGCUGAAUCAAUGGAAUCAUCAAGAAAUUCCGCAACCACCGUUCCCUCAUCCUCCUCAUAUCGCUCUUCAUGGUUCUCUUGGCUUCGAUCUCAAUUCUAUUAACCUCCCUGCUCCAUGGUUCAUCUAUGCCUUUAUGGGAGUGGGAGUAUUGGUGUGCUGUGUUACCUUCUUGGGUUGCAUUGCAGCUGAAUUGAUAAAUGGUUGCUGCUUAUGUUUUUACACGCUACUUGUCACAGUAAUUCUAAUACUAGAAGCUGUUUUGGUGGGAUUCAUUGCCAUUGAUCAUCGCUGGGAAGAGCAUCUUCCCAUUGAUCCUACUGGCCAACUUGACAGCCUUAAAUCUUUCAUCAAGGAGAACAUGGAUAUAUGUGCAUGGGUUGGAAUUGCUGUGCUUGUGAUUCAGGCGUCAUCUCUAUUAAUGGCAUUAGUUUUGCGAGCCUCAGUUUCUUCUAGGAGUGAUGAUUCAGCUUAUGAGGACGAAUAUGAUGCUAGGGUUCCUCUGGUAAGUCCUAAAUCUAGCCAAGCAUCUGGUUCAAGCAAAUUUGAUAACCGAGCUAAUCACUCCGACAUUUGGAGCUCACGGAUGAGAGAGAAGUAUGGUUUGAACAAUAGUGAAAAGAUCAGUUACCAACAACCAUGAAUCAGGCAAUAACUGCUAUUAGCUGCGAGCAAUUUGGGAUUUUGGUGACAUAUGGGGUGCAAGGGGACUACUGAUUUCGAUUCUGGUACAUUACAUCAUCAUGCAUGCUCUAUACAGUUGUAGAAAUCAUAUCACUGAUACCACAGUAAUGGCUAAAUUGAGAGUGUCUAAUAUACCUUCAUAUUAUGAUUUUGGGUAGCUUUGUAACUGUUCAAAUUCAGUUUAAUAAUA